Molecule: ribosomal RNA, 253 nt
Filed under: uncultured bacterium
Lineage: Bacteria
Description: partial 16S ribosomal RNA
Rfam family: Bacterial small subunit ribosomal RNA
Source: RNAcentral
UACAGAGGAGGCGAGCGUUAUCCGGAGUUAUUGGGCGUAAAGGGUACGUAGGCGGCUGGUCCAGUCUGGGGUUAAAGACCACAGCUUAACUGUGGGGGGGCCUUGGAAACUGACCGGCUGGAGUGGGGCAGGGGUUGCGGGAAUUCCCGGUGUAGCGGUGAAAUGCGCAGAUAUCGGGAAGAACACCUGAGGCGAAAGCGCGCAACUGGGCCCUAACUGACGCUGAGGUACGAAAGCUAGGGGAGCGAAUGGG